AUACGGAGGGUCCAAGCGUUAUCCGGAUUCAUUGGGUUUAAAGGGUCCGCAGGCGGGAAAAUAAGUCAGUGGUGAAAGCCUACAGCUCAACUGUAGAACUGCCAUUGAUACUGUUUUUCUUGAGUAUAGAUGAAGUGGGCGGAAUAUAUCAUGUAGCGGUGAAAUGCAUAGAUAUGAUAUAGAACACCGAUUGCGAAGGCAGCUCACUAAACUAUUUCUGACGCUCAGGGACGAAAGCGUGGGGAGCGAACAGGAGUAGAAACCCCAGUAGUCC
RNAcentral lists this ribosomal RNA (274 nucleotides) under uncultured bacterium. Its description in RNAcentral is "partial 16S ribosomal RNA". It matches the Rfam family "Bacterial small subunit ribosomal RNA", at positions 523 to 796 of the family's 1533-position model. The record is from RNAcentral.